Non-coding RNA from Odocoileus virginianus texanus, 926 nucleotides. Lineage: Eukaryota; Metazoa; Chordata; Mammalia; Artiodactyla; Cervidae. The record is from RefSeq and is a predicted model, not a curated record.
CUGAAGAAAAAUCAGCAAAUUUUGGUAACUUUGUCAGGGUUAUAGCAGACAACCAACAGUGAGUGGAGCAUGGUGCAAAAACUGACCAGGGAUGGAGAUGAAUGGGAAUGGAUUGAGUAGUUUGGAACUGUCUCCCUUUCGACUGAUGCCCAGCCGAGGCUGCAGCUCAGGAGCCUUUAAAAUCAACAUGUCAGAAACUGGUGAAGCCCUGGGGCUGAAGGUGCUGCUGCUCUCCAGUCCCAGGCUUGCCUCACCCUAGAGAACUCCCCGAGCUGCAUGCCCUGAUGCCUGAUGCUGAAACAGAUACAUUCAUUUCUCCCACUGCUCAUCCCUAUCUCUACAGAGCAUCCCUGCCUUGUUAUCCUCUUCUUAGGUGACCAGAGAGAACUUCAAGAACCUCAAAAAGGGAAGAACCACAUGAUGGAAGAAUUCUGGGUUCUUAAGUGAUGUCCCGGAAAGCCACCCAACCAAAACCCCUCAACUGGACUUGACAUGAGGCACAUGAGAAAUUCACCAAACUUGACUCCUAUAACUCCAGAAUGAUUCAACUUAUAAAUUGGUAAAUAUAUAUAUUCCACAUGUACUGUUUGAGCUGAAGAAGACAGUAGAGUUGUUACUGGCCAUCCUCUCCAUAUUACACAGGACAGUACUGAGAUAUAGAAAGGGAAAGGCUGUGUCUGGUGCGGCUGAGUUGUCUUGAUUUCAAGUCUCCUAACUCACACAAGAGAAUGUCCUGUUUGGAACAGCUUGGUCUCCACUGAUUGUACAGGAUGAUGCCUGUGCUCAGGGUGUCUAAAUGCAGUCUUCUUCCUUACACCCCCAUGGGAAUUCCUCCUGAAACUGCCCCUGUGGUUGAGAAGGGUCACCUUUGCAGAUAAAGAAGAGUUCUCUGACCAAGAGAAUCCAAGGAACUGUACUUCCUUGCC